Long non-coding RNA from Brassica rapa (field mustard), 1334 nucleotides. RefSeq lists it as uncharacterized. NCBI's taxonomy places the organism in Eukaryota, Viridiplantae, Streptophyta, Magnoliopsida, Brassicales, Brassicaceae. The record is from RefSeq and is a predicted model, not a curated record.
AUUUGGCCUAAAUUCCAUGUCAUCUUCUCUUCCGGAACUCAAUCUCGCAGCCUCCACUUUUCAGAGCUUCAUCUCUUCGCCUCCCAUUCGUAUCUCUUAAGCUUCCCUGUUUUAAUUAUGCCACAAUUACUGCUUCUGAUCGCUUUCGUCUUCAUCGCCGUCUUCAACCUCUUAACGAUCGGACCAACCACUUUCAGCGUUUUCCAAGUAUUCUAUUGACUACAGCUGAAACCGAUCUCCACCAAAGUAAAAUCAGUGUCUCUCUUAAGCUAUGAAGAUUUGGGUCUUGAAGGAAUCAAACAAAGAGUUAAGUUUGUUUUUAUUUUCAACUUUCGAUUCCUUAUUCUGUCAUUAUGAUUAGACUUAGCUAAGAUUUGUGCUUGAUCCGUAUUCCUACAAUGUUACCAUGACUGAAAACCUGGCGGCUGAGAAUGAAAGGAUGAAUGAUGUCGCAAAGAUCAAAGUUGUUAUGCCUAAGUGACUACUUUAAAAAAAAAAGUAUUCAGCAAAAAAACGAGGAAGACGUUGUUGACACAAAUUCCAAUUGCUUAACAGUUCAUGAAACCAAACUUAAGCUCAGUCUCUCAUGUUUUGGGUUGAGUUGACUAGCCUAUGUUAGCAUGAACCUGUGUUUGAUGCUGUGCUAGAUGAGGAAGUAUCAAAUGGUGAGGUGGCUGAUAUAUGAAAGACAUGAUCAACACUUAUCUGGAGUUUAUCGUGAGGCAGUGGAUCCCCUAAAUUUUCAGUGCAUUAAUGCCACUUGCUUGGCAUAUAGGCAGACAGGUAGUUGUAAAACCUAAACUAUGAAGCCUUUGCCUCUUUAAGUCUUCAAGGGAUAUCCUAAGGUCGGUGCAAAAUGCAUACAGAACCAAUUGUUUGGUAUAAACCAUAUCGGUUCUUCUCCGGUAUGUGACUUAUCCUACAAAGCUGUGUUACCCGAAAUCCGAGAUGUGCAAGAGCGAUUUAACGUGUACCGCAUGGAUUAUAACUGUUGAGUUUUUAGUCUAUCACCUCUUCUUUGACUUGAAACUUUAAGGUGGUCUUCUUCUGCUGAAAGUUCAGACACUAAGCCAACUGAGUAAAGAAAGAACUAAAGAAAGGUAUCAGAAGAGCAAGGAGCGCCAGAAAGUCAUUAUUUUGCUUCAGUUAAGAGUUCCAUACAAAUAAUAAUUUAGGAUCUUUUCUGGUUCCCUUUACUCUCUAAAAACCCACUGCACAUGUACAUGUAGAAAAGGCAACUCCACAAAUGGUUACUCUAUCAAAUAUUGUAAUACUUUAACUCUCACAAACCUAUUAACGAUGAUUCUUAUAGAUACAUCCAUUUUUAUUGGCCU